AUUCCCACGGGACCGUGGUUCUAGGUACAGCGUAAUAAUGAUUCUAUCAGCUGUCAGCCAUUUUCAACAGCCUGUCAUGGUGAGUGGGACACGCGGCGAGUGUAGGUCGGCCAGAGGAGAUCCGCAAUCAUUACUGCACCGGGCCCUGUUGCCUAUUUAAACCCGCUCCCCCCUUUCAGGAAUUUCACUUUGCCUCUUGUUGGUGCCCUUCUUCUUCUUCCCUGAGAGCU
RNAcentral lists this long non-coding RNA (230 nucleotides) under Elaeis guineensis (African oil palm). RNAcentral's name for it is "long non-coding RNA (EGUI_LNC072036)". The record is from RNAcentral. Lineage: Eukaryota; Viridiplantae; Streptophyta; Magnoliopsida; Arecales; Arecaceae.